RNAcentral lists this ribosomal RNA (390 nucleotides) under Rhodotorula sp. RNAcentral describes it as "partial small subunit ribosomal RNA". It matches the Rfam family "Eukaryotic small subunit ribosomal RNA", at positions 582 to 975 of the family's 1831-position model. Lineage: Eukaryota; Fungi; Basidiomycota; Microbotryomycetes; Sporidiobolales; Sporidiobolaceae. The record is from RNAcentral.
AUUCCAGCUCCAAUAGCGUAUAUUAAAAUUGUUGCCGUUAAAAAGCUCGUAGUCGAACUUCGGGCUCUGUCAGCCGGUCCGCCUUCUUGGUGUGUACUUGUUUGAUGGAGCCAUACCUCCUGGUGAAUGGCGAUGUCCUUUACUGGGUGUCGUCGCAAACCAGGACUUUUACUUUGAAAAAAUUAGAGUGUUCAAAGCAGGCCUUUGCCCGAAUACAUUAGCAUGGAAUAAUAAAAUAGGACGCGCGUUCCCAUUUUGUUGGUUUCUGAGAUCGCCGUAAUGAUUAAUAGGGAUAGUUGGGGGCAUUUGUAUUCCGUCGUCAGAGGUGAAAUUCUUGGAUUGCCGGAAGACAAACUACUGCGAAAGCAUUUGCCAAGGAUGUUUUCAUUA